RNAcentral lists this ribosomal RNA (253 nucleotides) under uncultured bacterium. RNAcentral's name for it is "partial 16S ribosomal RNA". It matches the Rfam family "Bacterial small subunit ribosomal RNA", at positions 524 to 776 of the family's 1533-position model. The record is from RNAcentral.
UACAGAGGUCCCAAGCGUUGUUCGGAUUUACUGGGCGUAAAGGGUGCGUAGGCGGCUUUGUAAGUCAGUGGUGAAAUAUGGCAGCUCAACUGUCAAGGUGCCAUUGAUACUGCAGAGCUUGAGUACAGAUGAGGUAGGCGGAAUUGACGGUGUAGCGGUGAAAUGCUUAGAUAUCGUCAAGAACACCUAUAGCGAAGGCAGCUUACUAGGCUGUAACUGACGCUGAGGCACGAAAGUGUGGGGAUCAAACAGG